GAGUAUGAAGCCAUUAGGGAGGCUAUAGUUUUGCAAAGGCUAUUAAGGAGUGUGUUCCCAUACUUU
This 66-nucleotide transfer RNA is filed under the name Anoplocephala perfoliata. RNAcentral describes it as "tRNA-Cys". The record is from RNAcentral. Lineage: Eukaryota; Metazoa; Platyhelminthes; Cestoda; Cyclophyllidea; Anoplocephalidae.